GGAGAGAAUCAUUUUCGCAGGAUCCUCAAAACCGUGUCUUUUUGACACAACUGCUGACAGCUACAUUGACAUAAACACAAAAAAUGCUGCUUGGAGACAAGUGUCCACGAUAGUAGGAUUGCCAGAAGACUGUAGGAGGAAGUGGAGAGGACUCGGGGACAGGUAUCAGAGAGAGAGAAGGGCAGAAAAAGAGAAGAAGAGGUCUGGGUCAGCAGCUUCAGGCCAGCAGCCUUGGUGCUUCUGUCACAUUCUUUCUUUUCAGGAUCCAUUUAUUGUGCCUAGUGCAACCGGUGGCAAUUUUACAGCCAGACCCUUUACUUCAUCCACAAGUGUGGGCGCCACCGGUGCAUCCAGACCCUCUACGUCAUUUACAAGUGAGACCACCGCCUCCACGGGUGCAGCGAGACCCUCUACAUCAUCCACAAGUAUGACCACCACCGGUGCAGCCACGGAAGAUGAUGAAAUGGAGGAAGCACGUCUGGAUCUAGGACCACUUGAGAUUAUUAUGACCCUCAAGGAAGUGACCACUGAGGACCUUGAACAGGAUGUGGCCGUGGAGACAAACGAGGAGAGAAACAUGGAGAAAUGAAGAGGAACAACGUCACACCAGGCACUAUCGGAGGUAGGAGCCCCCAGAUCCCCUCAACUCAUUUCAGCAGAGGCUCCUCCAAGCCAUCGGGAGGGAUGCAGCCCAACCUGAUGCUCACAGGAAGGAGGAUUAAGAAACCCUCUUUGCCAUGAGCCUGUUGCCAACACUGAAGAGGCUGCCUCAGCAAAGAAAAGCAGCAGUCAGGGUUAAAAUUCAUCAGCAGCUACACAUUCACUUUUAGUUUUUUCAGACACACACACCUUUCCUCCACUCCUCUCUGUACCUCAGAUCUACAGUGCCCUGCCCUCUCUACCUUUAUGGCCAUGUCUGAAGUCCCCCUACUAUGUCUAGGCUUUAUGAGUAGUCCCUGUAUCUGUCUGCAGUUCCCCUACUACGUCUAGGCUUUAUGAGUAAUCCCUGUAUCUGCCUGCAGUUCCCCUACUACGUCUAGGCUUUGAGUAGUCCCUGUAUCUGUCUGCAGUUCCCCUACUACGUCUAGGCUUUAUGAGUAGUCCCUGUAUCUGUCUGCAGUUCCCCUACUACGUCUAGGCUUUAUGAGUAGUCCCUGUAUCUGUCUGCAGUUCCCCUACUACGUCUAGGCUUUAUGAGUAGUCCCUGUAUCUGUCUGAAGUUCCCCUACUACGUCUAGGCUUUAUGAGUAGUCCCUGUGUCUGUCUGCAGUUCCCCUACUACGUCUAGGCUUUAUGAGUAGUCCCUGUAUCUGUCUGCAGUUCCCCUACUAUGUCUAGGCUUUAUGAGUAGUCCCUGUAUCUGUCUGCAGUUCCCCUACUACGUCUAGGCUUUAUGAGUAGUCCCUGUGUCUGUCUGCAGUUGUGCCAGAAAUGCAUGCUCUUGUUGUUCUCUUACAGAUUACAGGCUACACAUACAUUUUUUUAUUUUUACACGCACAUACACACACACACACCUCUUUCAAUAGUUUUAAUUUUGAAAAACAUUUUUACAACACACAUACUUGUACUUUUACAACAACACACCUGUACUUGAAUACUUAUUCAAUUAUGUUUUCAUAGUCAGUUGUUUCAGUUGUUUAUUAAUAUCUCAUUAAGACUUAAUCUGCUAAUUUCUUCCCUACACCUUCGCAGAUCUAAGACAAGAUUAAAGUAAAAAUACAUUCUCUUCCUAAUUGGGUUUUUUUCCACCUGCAUUUUGUCAGACCAGUGAAGAUGGUGGUAAACUAUAUUAUCUGUAUGGACCCUAGGUUACCUUUUCCCAUUGUUAUCAUACUAACUGUGUGUCUUAUAAUUAG
This 1856-nucleotide long non-coding RNA is filed under the name Salmo salar (Atlantic salmon). RNAcentral's name for it is "lncRNA (ENSSSAG00000099393.1)". Lineage: Eukaryota; Metazoa; Chordata; Actinopteri; Salmoniformes; Salmonidae. The record is from RNAcentral.